GGGACGGGAGGAGAGAAGAAAAGUCACAACACUGAGAUGACAAAGAUGAAAACUUUGACCAAGAGUUAAGCCGGGUUCUAGGUGUGAUCUCACAGUGUGACAGACAGUCCUUUAGGCAGGAGCAGCAGUCAGGGGAGUUGCCAGGAGGACUGGGUUUAAGCAUCACCCCUUCACCAACACCCCACCCCCUUCAAGAGCUGUCAGCUUGCUUUGAACGCUUGGUUGGGCACACACGCCUGACGCACUGUCCCUGGCAUAUGUCAUCGCUCGAUCAGCAUAGAUCAGAGCAGUGCUCCGACAAUUGAUUGGACUCAUCGUGGUGUAUUGUAUCUUAUCAUAUUUGUCAGAGAGCAGUGUUCGAUACCUACACAGCCAGCCGCUUUGAUAUACAGAUUACGCUAUACAUGCACCCUGAUAAAGAAGACAGCCCCAGUGCAGCCUCUUUUCCUCAGAGCAUAGGAGAGCUACACAUACCUUGUUCCUAGGACUAACCAUACCCAAGUCAUUCUGGAUGUUUACUAUCUGUGUUUCUUUUGGCCGCCGGCGUUGAUGUGAAUAAUUUUUUGCAGUGAAGCUUUCGAUAAUUGGAGCAACUGGGAUCCAUUGAAACAAUACAGGAUUGAAUCUGGCCCAAACAGAGCUGAUUAAGAGCAAGUUUCGGCCACUCAAGUUAGCCUGCAAGAACAUGCAGCCAUGGUGGGAAGAAGCCAAACAGCAACGUGACGUCAUCGAUCUGACGUCAGUGGUGUGACCUCGUGUAGAGGGGUGACGUCAGAAAAGUAGGCUGAUUUGCUUAGCGGCUUAGGAUUUCCCGGCAACGUCUCGGUUGAAGAAACGGUAAGUUAAAUGGAGAUGCUCUACAUAAGUUUAUACAACUUCUUGCCCUAUAACACUAUACCAUAUCGAUCGCUGCUUUUGUUUGAAACUCUCCGCCGAUGUUUUCUCUCUCUCCUAAUUUGCCAAUUAUUGUCUGUUCGGGAAAAAAAUUUGCCUCUUUUCUUCCGCGCGACUGGAAAAAGCGAAUAGCGGACUUUGGCUUCAAAUUAGGGUUUCUA
Long non-coding RNA from Liolophura sinensis, 1055 nucleotides. RefSeq lists it as uncharacterized. The record is from RefSeq and is a predicted model, not a curated record. The transcript is spliced from 3 exons. Lineage: Eukaryota; Metazoa; Mollusca; Polyplacophora; Chitonida; Chitonidae.